CAUGCAGUCGAGCGGUAAGGCCCUUUCGGGGUACACGAGCGGCGAACGGGUGAGUAACACGUGGGUGAUCUGCCUUGCACUCUGGGAUAAGCCUGGGAAACUGGGUCUAAUACCGGAUAUGACCUGCAGUUGCAUGACUGCGGGUGGAAAGAUUUAUCGGUGCAAGAUGAGCCCGCGGCCUAUCAGCUUGUUGGUGGGGUAAUGGCCUACCAAGGCGACGACGGGUAGCCGGCCUGAGAGGGCGACCGGCCACACUGGGACUGAGACACGGCCCAGACUCCUACGGGAGGCAGCAGUGGGGAAUAUUGCACAAUGGGCGGAAGCCUGAUGCAGCGACGCCGCGUGAGGGAUGACGGCCUUCGGGUUGUAAACCUCUUUCGACUCCGACGAAGCGAAAGUGACGGUAGGAGUAUAAGAAGCACCGGCCAACUACGUGCCAGCAGCCGCGGUAAUACGUAGGGUGCGAGCGUUGUCCGGAAUUACUGGGCGUAAAGAGCUUGUAGGCGGCUUGUCGCGUCGAUCGUGAAAACUCGGGGCUCAACCCCGAGCUUGCGGUCGAUACGGGCAGGCUUGAGUACUUCAGGGGAGACUGGAAUUCCUGGUGUAGCGGUGAAAUGCGCAGAUAUCAGGAGGAACACCGGUGGCGAAGGCGGGUCUCUGGGAAGUAACUGACGCUGAGAAGCGAAAGCGUGGGUAGCGAACAGGAUUAGAUACCCUGGUAGUCCACGCCGUAAACGGUGGGUACUAGGUGUGGGUUUCCUUCCACGGGAUCCGUGCCGUAGCUAACGCAUUAAGUACCCCGCCUGGGGAGUACGGCCGCAAGGCUAAAACUCA
RNAcentral lists this ribosomal RNA (834 nucleotides) under Nocardia carnea. RNAcentral's name for it is "bacterial SSU rRNA". It matches the Rfam family "Bacterial small subunit ribosomal RNA", at positions 54 to 903 of the family's 1533-position model. The record is from RNAcentral. Lineage: Bacteria; Bacillati; Actinomycetota; Actinomycetes; Mycobacteriales; Nocardiaceae.